CAAUAAAAUUUGAUCCUCACUGAAAAUCCAACUCUCUUUACAUACAAACUGAAUUUUGCGAACUGAAUUUGAGAGUUGGAUUUUCAGUGAGGAUCAAAUUUUAUUG
Non-coding RNA from Xyrichtys novacula (pearly razorfish), 106 nucleotides. NCBI's taxonomy places the organism in Eukaryota, Metazoa, Chordata, Actinopteri, Labriformes, Labridae. The record is from the annotation of a GenBank genome assembly.